GACAGAGGGUGCAAACGUUGCUCGGAAUUACUGGGCGUAAAGCGCGUGUAGGCGGACCAGCAAGUCGGACGUGAAAUCCCUGAGCUCAACUCAGGAACUGCAUCCGAAACUGCUGGUCUGGAGUGGUGGAGAGGGAAGCAGAAUUCCUGGUGUAGAGGUGAAAUUCGUAGAUAUCAGGAGGAACACCGGUGGCGAAGGCGGCUCCUGGACACUUACUGACGCUGAGACGCGAAAGCGUGGGGAGCAAACAGG
RNAcentral lists this ribosomal RNA (252 nucleotides) under uncultured bacterium. RNAcentral describes it as "partial 16S ribosomal RNA". It matches the Rfam family "Bacterial small subunit ribosomal RNA", at positions 524 to 776 of the family's 1533-position model. The record is from RNAcentral.